GACUUUUAAAUUCUUACAUGAUUUGAGUUCAAACCGGCGUGAGCCAGGUUGGUUUCUAUCUUAGAAUUUAUCAUUUUAUUUAGUACGAAAGGACCAAUAAAAUAUACAUUAGCGUAUUGUAUACUUUA
This 128-nucleotide ribosomal RNA is filed under the name Hishimonus phycitis. RNAcentral describes it as "partial 16S ribosomal RNA". The record is from RNAcentral. Lineage: Eukaryota; Metazoa; Arthropoda; Insecta; Hemiptera; Cicadellidae.